CAGCAGCUUGCAUAAACUGCCGCCGGUGUCCUCUCUUCUCUAGCUUCUCCAAGACUUUCUGCUCUGUCACUAAACAAGAACUGUAAUACUGUGAUUUUCUGCAUAUUUCAUUUUAUUCUGGAAAGAAACCGUUCAUUCAGGUACGAGGGAACUGUCUGAACAUGUUUAACCACUGAUCAAACUUCACUUGUUUUUAAGGGAUGGAUGUUAUAUAAAGAAGGUACGAGAAAUCACAAAACAUAAUGUAACCAAAUGCUACAAUUUACUUAAUAAUAAUAUCUCAGUAUGUUAAAUAACCAUAAUGUUAAUUAACACUUUAUUAUUACAACUGUAAUACAAUAAUAUAUAUGCAGAACAACCAAUUUUAGUUUUUGAAUCAAUCAUAUCUCUCAUUAAACGCUGUGUGAAAUGUU
Myxocyprinus asiaticus (Chinese sucker) is the source of this 413-nucleotide long non-coding RNA. RefSeq lists it as uncharacterized. NCBI's taxonomy places the organism in Eukaryota, Metazoa, Chordata, Actinopteri, Cypriniformes, Catostomidae. The transcript is spliced from 2 exons. The record is from RefSeq and is a predicted model, not a curated record.